GUCGUGAGAUGUUGGGUUAAGUCCCGCAACGAGCGCAACCCUUGUCAUUAGUUGCUACGAAAGGGCACUCUAAUGAGACUGCCGGUGACAAACCGGAGGAAGGUGGGGAUGACGUCAAGUCCUCAUGGCCCUUAUGGGUAGGGCUUCACACGUCAUACAAUGGUACAUACAGAGGGCCGCCAACCCGCGAGGGGGAGCUAAUCCCAGAAAGUGUAUCGUAGUCCGGAUUGGAGUCUGCAACUCGACUCCAUGAAGUUGGAAUCGCUAGUAAUCGCGGAUCAGCAUGUCGCGGUGAAUACGUUCCCGGGUCUUGUACACACCGCCCGUCACACCAUGGGAGCGGGUUUUACCAGAAGUAGGUAGCCUAACCGUAAGGAGGGCGCUUACCACGGUAGGAUUCGUGACUGGGGUGAAGUCGUAACAAGGUAGCCGUAUCGGAAGGUGCGGCUGGAUCACCUCCUUUCUAGAGUAAGCAUGAAAGUUAAGCGUCCACACUUAUCGGGCUGUUAGUAAAGAAAACGAACAGUAGUAAUGGCAGUAGCAGGACAAUGGUUCACGUGGUUCCAAGCGGGUCUGUAGCUCAGCUGGUUAGAGCACCGUGUUGAUAACGCGGGGGUCGUUGGUUCGAGCCCAACCAGACCCACCAGGUUAUUGCAGUGGGCAGUGGCAGUAAGCCAGUGGCAGUAAGCAUUGGCAGUAAGCAGUGGUGGUACGGAAUACGGGGGUUUAGCUCAGCUGGGAGAGCACCUGCUUUGCAAGCAGGGGGUCGUCGAUUCGAUCCCGUCAACCUCCACCAAGUUUUACGGCAAGAGAAGAGUAAGAGAAGAGUAAGAGAAGCAAGAGAAAAAAAGGCAGUCGCGUUCGCGGCUGUGACGUAAAAGUCCAAACCUAAGACAAGAGGCAGUACCUGGCAGGAAGGGGUAUUGCGCGCAGCGCUUUAGGUUUGGUUUUUUAGAAAGACCAUUGGCUGUUUCGUUCUUUAACAAUUGAGAAGAAGUAAAGAUUUGUCGAUGCACACGACAGUGUGUGUCGAUGGGUGUGAUUGUAUCAAUCAAAAUAGUAUUAAAGAGUUCUCAAAAGGGCGUGUUUCUUCCCGAAGCAUGCCAUGCGAUAACACUUUGGAUACGGCAAACAAAACUCAUAGUAGUACCCCUAUGACCGGUUUUUGGUCCGCGCAUGAACAGCAGGAUAGCGGAUCAGAAGCUAACGUUAUAGGGACAAGUGAAUAAGUGCACAUGGUGGAUGCCUUGGCGAUUACAGGCGAUGAAGGACGUAGUAGCUUGCGAUAAGCUGCGGGGAGCGAGCAAACACGCUUUGAUCCGCAGAUUU
RNAcentral lists this small RNA (1329 nucleotides) under uncultured Herminiimonas sp. Its description in RNAcentral is "bacterial SSU rRNA". The stretch from base 1 to 463 matches the Rfam family "Bacterial small subunit ribosomal RNA", at positions 1064 to 1533 of the family's 1533-position model. The record is from RNAcentral. Lineage: Bacteria; Pseudomonadati; Pseudomonadota; Betaproteobacteria; Burkholderiales; Oxalobacteraceae.